RNAcentral lists this ribosomal RNA (1372 nucleotides) under uncultured bacterium. RNAcentral describes it as "bacterial SSU rRNA". It matches the Rfam family "Bacterial small subunit ribosomal RNA", at positions 28 to 1381 of the family's 1533-position model. The record is from RNAcentral.
GAUGAACGCUGGCGGCGUGCCUAAUACAUGCAAGUCGAGCGAACGGACGAGAAGCUUGCUUCUCUGAUGUUAGCGGCGGACGGGUGAGUAACACGUGGAUAACCUACCUAUAAGACUGGGAUAACUUCGGGAAACCGGAGCUAAUACCGGAUAAUAUUUUGAACCGCAUGGUUCAAAAGUGAAAGACGGUCUUGCUGUCACUUAUAGAUGGAUCCGCGCUGCAUUAGCUAGUUGGUAAGGUAACGGCUUACCAAGGCAACGAUGCAUAGCCGACCUGAGAGGGUGAUCGGCCACACUGGAACUGAGACACGGUCCAGACUCCUACGGGAGGCAGCAGUAGGGAAUCUUCCGCAAUGGGCGAAAGCCUGACGGAGCAACGCCGCGUGAGUGAUGAAGGUCUUCGGAUCGUAAAACUCUGUUAUUAGGGAAGAACAUAUGUGUAAGUAACUGUGCACAUCUUGACGGUACCUAAUCAGAAAGCCACGGCUAACUACGUGCCAGCAGCCGCGGUAAUACGUAGGUGGCAAGCGUUAUCCGGAAUUAUUGGGCGUAAAGCGCGCGUAGGCGGUUUUUUAAGUCUGAUGUGAAAGCCCACGGCUCAACCGUGGAGGGUCAUUGGAAACUGGAAAACUUGAGUGCAGAAGAGGAAAGUGGAAUUCCAUGUGUAGCGGUGAAAUGCGCAGAGAUAUGGAGGAACACCAGUGGCGAAGGCGACUUUCUGGUCUGUAACUGACGCUGAUGUGCGAAAGCGUGGGGAUCAAACAGGAUUAGAUACCCUGGUAGUCCACGCCGUAAACGAUGAGUGCUAAGUGUUAGGGGGUUUCCGCCCCUUAGUGCUGCAGCUAACGCAUUAAGCACUCCGCCUGGGGAGUACGACCGCAAGGUUGAAACUCAAAGGAAUUGACGGGGACCCGCACAAGCGGUGGAGCAUGUGGUUUAAUUCGAAGCAACGCGAAGAACCUUACCAAAUCUUGACAUCCUUUGACAACUCUAGAGAUAGAGCUUUCCCCUUCGGGGGACAAAGUGACAGGUGGUGCAUGGUUGUCGUCAGCUCGUGUCGUGAGAUGUUGGGUUAAGUCCCGCAACGAGCGCAACCCUUAAGCUUAGUUGCCAUCAUUAAGUUGGGCACUCUAAGUUGACUGCCGGUGACAAACCGGAGGAAGGUGGGGAUGACGUCAAAUCAUCAUGCCCCUUAUGAUUUGGGCUACACACGUGCUACAAUGGACAAUACAAAGGGCAGCGAAACCGUGAGGUCAAGCAAAUCCCAUAAAGUUGUUCUCAGUUCGGAUUGUAGUCUGCAACUCGACUACAUGAGGCUGGAAUCGCUAGUAAUCGUAGAUCAGCAUGCUACGGUGAAUACGUUCCCGGGUCU